This is a long non-coding RNA of Neodiprion fabricii, 1794 nucleotides long. RefSeq lists it as uncharacterized. The transcript is spliced from 4 exons. NCBI's taxonomy places the organism in Eukaryota, Metazoa, Arthropoda, Insecta, Hymenoptera, Diprionidae. The record is from RefSeq and is a predicted model, not a curated record.
ACAACGACUUUUUCCAAAGACGCGUCGUUACAAUAACGUUACAAACUUCAGCCUGAUAAAUCGUUAGCGUUUGAAUACAAGUUUUCUUUUUAAAAUUAAAAUGUUACCGAAUGUAACGCGGAAGAAACAAGAAUUAGAAACGCAAUAAGACGAUCGUCGACUUCCUCAACCGACUGUACGCACCUUCAAACAGAAUUGAAAGUGAAACGGUCGGUCAACGGUAUUUUACAACGGUCGCGCGCACGUAACCGCCGCUUAGAGCGCGUCGGUGUCGAGUCUUUCGCAUGGUGUGAAAAUGGGAAGAAAACCGACAGGAAGGAAUAUGGCCGAAGUGGCGGAAUGCGAUUGGGAGAAUUUCACCGAGCUUCGGAAAUUUCCGUAGCCGUUUAGUCCAUGGCGAAUUAUAUAAACGGUCGCCGGAGGGACCGGACCAAAGAAUAAACAACCGCAAUACCAAGGACAGAGAUCGGAGGGCCCGGUGUAACCGUCGCGACGCGACUUUCAAGGCGCCAGGACCCGAAGAGAGCAGCCAGAGAGAACAAAGAGAGCUUGAGCGCAGAUUUCUCGUCAUAGUUAUAGGAAUUAUGUUGAAAGUUGGGGACGCGUUCGCGGGACGUAACAUAAACGGAAGAUUGAUCAUCAUUCGUUUGACUGUUGGUCCUUCGUUUUUACCCCUGGACUUUUAAGUGGUUCGAGUAUACGAGAACCAUACCUACGGAUGUCGAAAUGCGCAGACUCUAAGUGGAUGUAACAAACGAUCGUGGUCCCUAUCUUUUCCUUUUCCUCUUCCUCUUCCUCUUCCUCUUCCUCUUCCGCCUAGUCUUCUCUCUGUAAAAUUCUAUUAUUUACCCAUUCUAAAUGCACCGCAGAAUCUUAUUCGAUUCGAAUUCCUUGUACGACAAGGCAUCGCCUCUAGAUCGCGUCUGCCUUCGACGUUCCAACUGUGAAAGGACAGCACCCUUUCUAGUUCCUCUCCUUUCCUACCACGAGAAUUGGCGAGGUAAACGAAUUCCGGUAUCGAUCUCGCCGAGGCUGUACGGUUAAGAGGGUUACGCAACAUACGUGGUGGUGCUGGGAUUAAGGCGGCACCUUAUACAUAUACGCCCGCUUGAACGAGCCUGCAAACGUGAACGAUACAGCCUAGGAACCCUUACUGCCAGGUUGGAAAGCAUUAUUUCUCCGGGGUGAGUUUACAAACACAGACUCUGCGUUUCUGGUAAAAGGACUCGUUGUUCGGUAACCCGCCAGUCUAAACCCAACGUGCCGGAGCAACGGAAGCCGGAAGUUGGUUUCCUUGGAGAAUUGCUGUUUACGUUGACCCAGAAGGUAUACACAAAUAUGAGUCUUUUACUCUCGGAUAACACAACGGCCCUCAUUCAUGUUCCCCAAUACAGGACUCCGGCAGGACUAACUUUUUCCUUGGGUCUUGAAUUCAGCGGCCCCGUAAGAGCGCGCAGUCUGUCUUUACAAGUUUAUGGUGGCAACGAAUGCUUCCUAAUGGUAUUUAUCGGACGCAUACGUCAGACUUCCACACAUAUAGCAAAUUCCCGUUUUUAUGGGCUACAUGAGGUGUAAUGAUAACAUCAGCGAGAAAGUCAGAGAUGAAUCAGUGUAGUUCUCGACCUUGAACAUUAGGUCAUUUGUGGGAUUUAUUCUAGAAAUCAAAUAUUGAACACAACAACAUAAAUUUGUAGAUGUACAAUAUGCACAUAUUUAUUCAUACUUCGUCAAGUUACAUUAUGUAUUAUUAAACUAAGACAUUUUUUUAAAGACUAUGAAUAAAUGGUGAAAUGU